Molecule: ribosomal RNA, 461 nt
Filed under: uncultured bacterium
Lineage: Bacteria
Description: partial 16S ribosomal RNA
Rfam family: Bacterial small subunit ribosomal RNA
Source: RNAcentral
CCUACGGGUGGCAGCAGUGAGGAAUAUUGGUCAAUGGGCGCGAGCCUGAACCAGCCAAGUCGCGUGAGGGAAGACGGCCCUACGGGUUGUAAACCUCUUUUGCCGGGGAGCAACGGGCGCCACGUGUGGCGCCACUGAGAGUACCCGGAGAAAAAGCAUCGGCUAACUCCGUGCCAGCAGCCGCGGUAAUACGGAGGAUGCGAGCGUUAUCCGGAUUUAUUGGGUUUAAAGGGUGCGUAGGCGGGGACGCAAGUCAGAUGUGAAAACCACGGGCUCAACCUGUGGCCUGCAUUUGAAACUGUGUUUCUUGAGUACUGGAGAGGCAGACGGAAUUCCUAGUGUAGCGGUGAAAUGCGUAGAUAUUAGGAGGAACACCAGUGGCGAAGGCGGUCUGCUGGACAGCAACUGACGCUGAGGCGCGAAAGCGUGGGGAGCAAACAGGAUUAGAUACCCUGGUAGUC